Molecule: ribosomal RNA, 169 nt
Filed under: uncultured Trebouxia photobiont
Lineage: Eukaryota; Viridiplantae; Chlorophyta; Trebouxiophyceae; Trebouxiales; Trebouxiaceae
Description: 5.8S ribosomal RNA
Rfam family: 5.8S ribosomal RNA
About the family: 5.8S ribosomal RNA (5.8S rRNA) is a component of the large subunit of the eukaryotic ribosome.
Source: RNAcentral
CAACUCUCAACAACGGAUAUCUUGGCUCCCGUAACGAUGAAGAACGCAGCGAAUUGCGAUACGUAGUGUGAAUUGCAGAAUUCCGUGAACCAUCGAAUCUUUGAACGCAAAUUGCGCUCGAGGCCUCGGCCAAGAGCAUGUCUGCCUCAGCGUCGGCUACUACCCUCAA